GUUGAAAUAGCGGUUCCCGUCUCUCACCGAAAUUAAGCAACGUCAGGCCUGGUCAGUACCUCGAUGGGUGAUCGCUUGGGAAUACCAUGUGCUGUAAG
Non-coding RNA from Acanthosepion pharaonis, 98 nucleotides. Lineage: Eukaryota; Metazoa; Mollusca; Cephalopoda; Sepiida; Sepiidae. The record is from the annotation of a GenBank genome assembly.